This 320-nucleotide ribosomal RNA is filed under the name uncultured Prevotella sp. RNAcentral's name for it is "bacterial SSU rRNA". It matches the Rfam family "Bacterial small subunit ribosomal RNA", at positions 28 to 339 of the family's 1533-position model. Lineage: Bacteria; Pseudomonadati; Bacteroidota; Bacteroidia; Bacteroidales; Prevotellaceae. The record is from RNAcentral.
GAUGAACGCUAGCUACAGGCUUAACACAUGCAAGUCGAGGGGUAACAGGAGGAAAGCUUGCUUUUCUUGCUGACGACCGGCGCACGGGUGAGUAACGCGUAUCCAACCUUCCCUAUAGUAGAGAAUAGCCCGGCGAAAGUCGAAUUAAUGCUCUAUGUUGUGUUUUGAGGACAUCUGACGAACACCAAAGGUUCACCGCUAUAGGAUGGGGAUGCGUCUGAUUAGCUUGUUGGCGGGGUAACGGCCCACCAAGGCGACGAUCAGUAGGGGUUCUGAGAGGAAGGUCCCCCACAUUGGUACUGAGACACGGACCAAACUCC